This 506-nucleotide ribosomal RNA is filed under the name Debaryomyces hansenii. RNAcentral's name for it is "eukaryotic LSU rRNA". It matches the Rfam family "Eukaryotic large subunit ribosomal RNA", at positions 113 to 634 of the family's 3401-position model. The record is from RNAcentral. Lineage: Eukaryota; Fungi; Ascomycota; Pichiomycetes; Serinales; Debaryomycetaceae.
AUUUGAAAUCUGGCACCUUCGGUGUCCGAGUUGUAAUUUGAAGAAGGUAACUUUGGAGUUGGCUCUUGUCUAUGUUCCUUGGAACAGGACGUCACAGAGGGUGAGAAUCCCGUGCGAUGAGAUGCCCAAUUCUAUGUAAAGUGCUUUCGAAGAGUCGAGUUGUUUGGGAAUGCAGCUCUAAGUGGGUGGUAAAUUCCAUCUAAAGCUAAAUAUUGGCGAGAGACCGAUAGCGAACAAGUACAGUGAUGGAAAGAUGAAAAGAACUUUGAAAAGAGAGUGAAAAAGUACGUGAAAUUGUUGAAAGGGAAGGGCUUGAGAUCAGACUUGGUAUUUUGCGAUCCUUUCCUUCUUGGUUGGGUUCCUCGCAGCUUACUGGGCCAGCAUCGGUUUGGAUGGUAGGAUAAUGACUAAGGAAUGUGGCUCUACUUCGGUGGAGUGUUAUAGCCUUGGUUGAUACUGCCUGUCUAGACCGAGGACUGCGUCUUUUGACUAGGAUGUUGGCAUAA